GACGAACGCUGGCGGCGUGCUUAACACAUGCAAGUCGUACGGUAAGGCCCUUUCGGGGGUACACGAGUGGCGAACGGGUGAGUAACACGUGAGUAACCUGCCCACAACUUUGGGAUAACGCUAGGAAACUGGUGCUAAUACUGGAUAUGUGCUCCUGCUGCAUGGUGGGGGUUGGAAAGCUCCGGCGGUUGUGGAUGGACUCGCGGCCUAUCAGCUUGUUGGUGGGGUAGUGGCCUACCAAGGCGGCGACGGGUAGCCGGCCUGAGAGGGUGACCGGCCACAUUGGGACUGAGAUACGGCCCAGACUCCUACGGGAGGCAGCAGUGGGGAAUAUUGCACAAUGGGCGCAAGCCUGAUGCAGCAACGCCGCGUGCGGGAUGACGGCCUUCGGGUUGUAAACCGCUUUCAGCAGGGACGAAGCUUUUUGUGACGGUACCUGCAGAAGAAGCACCGGCUAACUACGUGCCAGCAGCCGCGGUGAUACGUAGGGUGCGAGCGUUGUCCGGAUUUAUUGGGCGUAAAGGGCUCGUAGGCGGUUGAUCGCGUCGGAAGUGGAAACUUGAUGCUUAACGUUGAGCGUGCUUUCGAUACGGGUUGACUUGAGGAAGGUAGGGGAGAAUGGAAUUCCAUGUGUAGCGGUGAAAUGCGCAGAGAUAUGGAGGAACACCAGUGGCGAAGGCGACUUUCUGGUCUGUAACUGACGCUGAUGUGCGAAAGCGUGGGGAUCAAACAGGAUUAGAUACCCUGGUAGUCCACGCCGUAAACGAUGAGUGCUAAGUGUUAGGGGGUUUCCGCCCCUUAGUGCUGCAGCUAACGCAUUAAGCACUCCGCCUGGGGAGUACGACCGCAAGGUUGAAACUCAAAGGAAUUGACGGGGACCCGCACAAGCGGUGGAGCAUGUGGUUUAAUUCGAAGCAACGCGAAGAACCUUACCAAAUCUUGACAUCCUCUGACCCCUCUAGAGAUAGAGUUUUCCCCUUCGGGGGACAGAGUGACAGGUGGUGCAUGGUUGUCGUCAGCUCGUGUCGUGAGAUGUUGGGUUAAGUCCCGCAACGAGCGCAACCCUUAAGCUUAGUUGCCAUCAUUAAGUUGGGCACUCUAAGUUGACUGCCGGUGACAAACCGGAGGAAGGUGGGGAUGACGUCAAAUCAUCAUGCCCCUUAUGAUUUGGGCUACACACGUGCUACAAUGGACAAUACAAAGGGUAGCGAAACCGCGAGGUCAAGCAAAUCCCAUAAAGUUGUUCUCAGUUCGGAUUGUAGUCUGCAACUCGACUAUAUGAAGCUGGAAUCGCUAGUAAUCGUAGAUCAGCAUACUACGGUGAAUACGUUCCCGGGUCU
Molecule: ribosomal RNA, 1340 nt
Filed under: uncultured bacterium
Lineage: Bacteria
Description: partial 16S ribosomal RNA
Rfam family: Bacterial small subunit ribosomal RNA
Source: RNAcentral